ACACACCCUGGGAUUUCCAAGAAUAAGCUGAAAUCAUGGCUUCUUUUCUUGCAGCAACUCCAUUCUUUCAUUCCAUCAUGAAAUAAAGGCUGCAAAGUAGGGGAACGAUUACUUUUAUGGUUGUGAAUUUAGUAGGUAGCAAUACGACUAAAUUAAGUAGAACUUACUCCCUGAUGAUAUAGAUAUCCGUAGUGCGUCAAAUACAGCCCAGAUAUGCAAAAUGGAGAGCUCAGUUAGUCAAGUUAUUUUUACAAUAUAUAAUCGUAAAUAGAAGAAUAAAAAAACUAAAAAGCACCUGCAAUUACAAAUUACAAUAGCAUGGGGGUGUCAAUGUAGAUAAUAACUGAACCAAGUUGCCCUCUUUUAGUGUUGUUAAAAGAAACAAACAAUUACUUACAAUUAAAAUGUAAAAUAUCAAAAUGCAGGGAAAAAACAACAAAUACAAGAAACUAUUAUUGAUUCACAAUGUAUUCAUAGUCUCAUCUAAAUCGAUAUAAUCUUUUCCCUAUAAAUGAGGCAAAACUUCUUUAAGGUAAACUGUUCCGUUGCUAAGAAUGCCUAAUAACAUUAGCAAUACUUUUUUUUCAUUAAAAUUAAAUUCAUAUACAAACGGAAGGGGAAUAGCACUCUUGUGCCAUAAUUUCUUUAUUCUUCGUCUAAGAGCUGUUCGGAAGUGAAAUAUUUUCAUACCUUUGUAUGAAUACAUAUGUAACACACACAAAAAAACCCAGCGAUUUUCACUAUUGUGACUGAGAGUCAUAAUGCUUAAUCGGCAGCAUAUAAAUUUAAUUUAACUAUGUUAGUCAGUACGACAACUAAUUUAAGCAUUGCUAACACACUGGUGCUCGAAAUCAUUUGUACAAUUCACACCCACAAGCGCAAAUAUCAGCUUACUUCAAUAUAGAUAUAUGUCAUUAGUACAACUCUAUGUUUGAUGUUUCAAUUGGUAUAUCCUAAGCUAUACAAUCAAAACGAAAGAGCAAAAAGGGGAGAGAGAGAGAGAGAGACCGAAGCGUGAUAAGUGCAAGAAUCUUCAGGAUUAUCGUCUUCAGUGAAAGUGGCAUCACAGCCGAUCCUCUGGCAUCGAAGCUUAGACAUCUCUCUCUCGCUCGUUUUCUCUCUGUAUUUUGCUUUUGGGGGGC
This 1142-nucleotide long non-coding RNA is filed under the name Daucus carota (carrot). RNAcentral describes it as "long non-coding RNA (DCAR_LNC004599)". Lineage: Eukaryota; Viridiplantae; Streptophyta; Magnoliopsida; Apiales; Apiaceae. The record is from RNAcentral.